Molecule: RNA transcript, 2507 nt
Organism: Vigna radiata var. radiata (mung bean)
Lineage: Eukaryota; Viridiplantae; Streptophyta; Magnoliopsida; Fabales; Fabaceae
Exons: 11
Source: RefSeq, a predicted model, not a curated record
UCCACCACCAUCAUAUUCCUUUAAUUCUCUUACUACGGUUGUUACGAAACUAACUUAACGAUAGCGCUGUGAAUCGCUUCCUUCCUUCCUUCUUUCACCUUCAAUCCAAAUCUCUUUCCUUAAAAUCUCGUUUGCAUCACAAUUCCCAAGAAACUUGUUUCGAUGGUGCGAGCUCCGAAUCCGCAGCAUCUGGAAGCGAACACGCCUUUAAUCGUACAGGGAGAGGGUUUGACAAAUGAUGGGCUUAUUCCUCAGAUAUUUUCAUCUAUGCCAGCUCUUAAUGAUGCUGCUUCUUAUCUUGCACAAACAACAUCAUACUUAACUGGUUGUUUCUCCGAUUUUUCAGUAGAACAUUCCCCCGGCGGUCCUGGUGCUCCUGUCCUUCAUGCACAAGAGCUUGUGGAUUUUCCUUAUGCAGAAAUUGGUGCAUCUUCAUCUACUGAAAUUGAUAAUAUUCCUUCAAACAGAAUGCAUUUAACCAGUGUUGAAUCAUCUAAGGCUUCGACUUCAACAUGUCCCCAUACCCAAGAUGAAAUCACCAGUACCUCUGGUGGAGUUCCGUUACAAAAUUCCAGUGCACUUGUUGAAUCGAAUCGAACUGGACAAAGUGGCAUUUCCAUGUUCCAAAGCCUGAUUGAUCGUGCUCGAAGGACUGUGCGUGGAUCUGCAGAUGAUAUAGGAUGGCUUCAACGUGAUCCAGCAAUGCCUCCAGUUGAAGAUGGAACUGAAAGGUUCCUUGAAAUUCUGGAUAACAUCAAGCAUGGUGUUCACAGGUUACCAAAUUCAGUGGUUUAUUUGUUAGUUCCAGGUCUCUUCAGUAAUCAUGGCCCACUUUACUUUGUCAAUACAAAAGUCAGUUUUUCAAAAUUGGGUUUGGCCUGUCAUAUUGCAAAGAUUCAUAGUGAGGCCUCAGUGGAGAAAAAUGCUAGAGAGCUGAAAGAGUACAUUGAGGAAAUUUAUUGGGGUUCACAGAAACGUGUUAUGCUUCUUGGACAUAGCAAAGGAGGAGUAGAUGCAGCAGCUGCUUUAUCGUUGUAUUGGUCUGAUUUGAAAGAUAAAGUUGCUGGGUUGGCAUUAGCCCAAAGUCCCUACGGUGGAACUCCUAUAGCUUCAGAUCUUCUGCGUGAAGGACAGCUUGGCGAUUAUGUGAAUUUACGAAAACUUACUGAGAUUCUUAUCUGUAAAGUAAUUAAGGGUGACAUGCGAGCUUUAGAAGACUUGACAUAUGAAAGGCGGCGAGAGUUUUUGAAAGAGCAUCAUCUGCCAAAUGAAGUUCCAGUUGUUUCCUUUCGGACUGAAGCUGGCAUUUCCCCUGCUGUUUUAGCCACAUUAUCUCAUGUUGCACAUGCUGAAUUUCCACCCCUAGUUGCUCCGACCGGUGAGUCUACAAAACUUCCUGUGGUGAUGCCCCUUGGUGCGGCAAUGGCUGCUUGUGCACAAUUGACUCAGGUUAGGUAUGGUGAGAAAAGUGACGGCCUUGUGACAUGCCGAGAUGCAGAAGUUCCUGGAUCCGUUGUGGUGCGACCUAAGCGAAAAUUGGACCAUGCUUGGAUGGUUUAUUCAUCGCUAAAUGACGACCCUUCUGAAGGAGAUGCAUCUCAGGUGUGCGAGGCUCUCUUGACUCUACUUGUGGAAAUCGGGCAGAAGAAGAUGCACGAGUUUGCAAUGAAAGAUGAAUGAAGCAUUCCGGUGAAAUUUUCGACCUAUGACCUUAAUGCGAUAACGAUGAGGGAUGAUGGGAAUACCCUGCACUGAUGUUUAAUCAAUUCGUGCUGCAUACUCAAGCCUUUUCAGUUUAUUUUUCUUGAACUGUUUAUUUACAUAUAUCUGGACGAGGUUGAUAUAGAAGGACAUUUCUCCUCCAUUCGUUUUAUUCCUUUUUUGGGAGAUAGGUGGUGGAAGUGGGUUUCUCCUAUAAAGUGCCAAUGGCAAUUACUUUCUGGCCAACUUCUCCUAGGACAAACUGUAAUGGUCACACCUACCGAAAAGGUUCAUGAGACUAUAAAGGUACAUCAACACCUAAUAUACACUGAGAAAGUAAAAAUAUUAGGUUUAUAAAUAUGAUGUAUAACAGAAAAGAGAUAAAAAGAAAAAACAAGUGAAUAAUAAAUAUAGAUAAAACGAAGGUGUACGUGUAUCAUUUCUCAAUAUUACUGAAAAAUUAUUCAUGGACACUUAAAAGAUACAUCAACACUUACGCAUAAAAAAAUAGUAAAAAUAAUAGGUUCAUAGGUUACAUGAUUUGAUAAGAGGAGAGAAGGAUAGAAAAAAAAACCAAGUAUAUAUAGUGAAUAUAGAUAAAAUGAAAAUGUGAGUAGAUCAGUAUUAGUGAAGCUGCUGGGAUAGCACAAUCUCGUCCUCCGAUUCAAAUUGGACUGUAGACUUUCGGAUUGGAACUCCAAAAAAUAAGGUCUCUUAUCAAACGGUUUAGGAAUUAAUUAAUUUAGAAUUAAAAAACUUAUUCUACACGGCCUAAUUCGGAAUGCUUACAUUUUUAAAAUAUACAA